Long non-coding RNA from Gallus gallus (chicken), 584 nucleotides. RefSeq lists it as uncharacterized. The record is from RefSeq and is a predicted model, not a curated record. The transcript has 4 exons. Lineage: Eukaryota; Metazoa; Chordata; Aves; Galliformes; Phasianidae.
GACGCACACCUGCACCUGGAGCUGUGUAAGAAGAGCAAACUGAUGGGGCAGAUACACAGCAGGAGAUCGUGGCCUGGCGACUGUUUUAUGGGCUCUCCAAGAAGUCAUUUAGUUAUUUCUCACUCCCGCCAUCCAGGAGAGCAGGGCUGAAUUCACCACCUUGGGAUCAGCUGGAGGAGAGCUCAGCAGCAGCAAAAGAUGCCUUCCCCAGAGCUUGAGGGUGCACAACAGAAGAGUUGGUCUCCUCAACAGCUGAUGCUGCUUCUCGGGCAUCCUAUAUCCAACGCUGCACCCUAUGUAUCCCAUAGCCAACGUCGUCCCAUCAGCAUCCCAUACGGAGCUCCGGCAGACGCCGGCAAUGGGCCGCUCUGGCAGCGCCCUCUGGAGGGCACAGAGCGCACUGCAGCGGAAUCUUCCUGGAUCAAGAACUGGAAGCAGCUGGUGAGGUUCUGCUGAGCUCUGCACAGGUCUCUGCCAAACACAUACCUUCUCUCUUCCCUUGAGGGAUCCAGAUGUUCAGAUAGAGGCAGUCCUCCUUCCCACGGACAUCAGUUUGGGAUUGGUGCACACUUUCUUCCAGGCCU